This 85-nucleotide transfer RNA is filed under the name Candidatus Saccharimonadota bacterium. RNAcentral describes it as "tRNA-Leu". It matches the Rfam family "tRNA". From Rfam's summary of the family: Transfer RNA (tRNA) molecules are approximately 80 nucleotides in length. Their secondary structure includes four short double-helical elements and three loops (D, anti-codon, and T loops). The record is from RNAcentral. Lineage: Bacteria; Candidatus Saccharimonadota.
GCCCGUGUGGUGAAAUUGGUAUACACGUAUGCCUUAGGAGCAUAUGCCGCAAGGUGUGCUGGUUCAAGUCCAGUCGCGGGCACCA